This 84-nucleotide ribosomal RNA is filed under the name Pterocarpus santalinus. Its description in RNAcentral is "partial 5.8S ribosomal RNA". It matches the Rfam family "5.8S ribosomal RNA", at positions 73 to 154 of the family's 154-position model. From Rfam's summary of the family: 5.8S ribosomal RNA (5.8S rRNA) is a component of the large subunit of the eukaryotic ribosome. It is transcribed by RNA polymerase I as part of the 45S precursor that also contains 18S and 28S rRNA. Lineage: Eukaryota; Viridiplantae; Streptophyta; Magnoliopsida; Fabales; Fabaceae. The record is from RNAcentral.
UGCAGAAUCCCGUGAACCAUCGAGUCUUUGAACGCAAGUUGCGCCCGAAGCCAUUAGGCUAAGGGCACGCCUGCCUGGGUGUCA